This 28-nucleotide non-coding RNA is filed under the name Rattus norvegicus (Norway rat). The record is from RNAcentral. Lineage: Eukaryota; Metazoa; Chordata; Mammalia; Rodentia; Muridae.
UGAGAGCGCAUUCCCAAUUAACCACAGC